RNAcentral lists this ribosomal RNA (324 nucleotides) under uncultured eukaryote. Its description in RNAcentral is "partial 18S ribosomal RNA". It matches the Rfam family "Eukaryotic small subunit ribosomal RNA", at positions 1470 to 1796 of the family's 1831-position model. The record is from RNAcentral.
CCCUUAGAUGCUCUGGGCCGCACGCGCGCUACACUGGUCGAUGCAACGAGUUUCUUUCCUUGGCCGACAGGCCUGGGCAAUCUUUGAACAUCGAUCGUGAUCGGGAUAGAUUCUUGUAAUUUUUGAUCUUAAACGAGGAAUUCCUAGUAAACGCAAGUCAUCAGCUUGCAUUGAUUACGUCCCUGCCCUUUGUACACACCGCCCGUCGCACCUACCGAUUGAAUGGUCCGGUGAAAUCUCCGGACUGGCGUGAGUCGGAGCAAUCUGACAAACACCGGAAAGUUGAUUAAACCUGACCAUUGAGAGGAAGGUGAAGUCGUAACA